GACGAACGCUGGCGGCGUGCUUAACACAUGCAAGUCGAACGGAAAGGCCCUGCUUUUGUGGGGUGCUCGAGUGGCGAACGGGUGAGUAACACGUGAGUAACCUGCCCUUGACUUUGGGAUAACUUCAGGAAACUGGGGCUAAUACCGGAUAGGCGCUCCUGCUGCAUGGUGGGGGUUGGAAAGUUUCGGCGGUUGGGGAUGGACUCGCGGCUUAUCAGCUUGUUGGUGGGGUAGUGGCUUACCACGGCUUUGACGGGUAGCCGGCCUGAGAGGGUGUCCGGCGACAUUGGGACUGUGAGACGGCCCAGUCUCCUACGGGAGGCAGCAGUGGGGAAUAUUGCGCAAUGGGCGGACGCCUGUGGCAGCAACGCCGCGUGCGGGAUAACGGCCUUCGGGUUUUAAACCGCUUUCGCCGGUGACGAAGCGUGAGUGACGGUAAUGGGUAAAGAAGCACCGGCUAACUACGUG
RNAcentral lists this ribosomal RNA (468 nucleotides) under uncultured bacterium. Its description in RNAcentral is "partial 16S ribosomal RNA". It matches the Rfam family "Bacterial small subunit ribosomal RNA", at positions 28 to 507 of the family's 1533-position model. The record is from RNAcentral.